GCACGACUGCUCGCUGUAGGUAUUGGCAGUGGCAUGAUAUGAGAUGAGCAUGCAUGUCUAGUAUAAGCAAUCUAUACCGUGAAACUGCGAAUGGCUCAUUAAAUCAGUUAUCGUUUAUUUGAUAGUACCUUACUACUUGGAUAACCGUGGUAAUUCUAGAGCUAAUACAUGCUAAAAACCUCGACUUCGGAAGGGGUGUAUUUAUUAGAUAAAAAACCAAUGCCCUUCGGGGCUCCUUGGUGAUUCAUGAUAACUUAACGAAUCGCAUGGCCUUGUGCCGGCGAUGGUUCAUUCAAAUUUCUGCCCUAUCAACUUUCGAUGGUAGGAUAGUGGCCUACCAUGGUUUCAACGGGUAACGGGGAAUUAGGGUUCUAUUCCGGAGAGGGAGCCUGAGAAACGGCUACCACAUCCAAGGAAGGCAGCAGGCGCGCAAAUUACCCAAUCCCGACACGGGGAGGUAGUGACAAUAAAUACUGAUACGGAGCUCUUUUGGGUUUCGUAAUUGGAAUGAGUACAAUUUAAAUCCCUUAACGAGGAACAAUUGGAGGGCAAGUCUGGUGCCAGCAGCCGCGGUAAUUCCAGCUCCAAUAGCGUAUAUUAAAGUUGUUGCAGUUAAAAAGCUCGUAGUUGAACCUUGGGCCUGGCUGGCCGGUCCGCCUCACCGCGUGCACUGGUCCGGCCGGGCCUUUCCUUCUGGGGAACCGCAUGCCCUUCACUGGGUGUGUCGGGGAUCCAGGACUUUUACUUUGAAAAAAUUAGAGUGUUCAAAGCAGGCCUAUGCUCGAAUACAUUAGCAUGGAAUAAUAGAAUAGGACGUGUGGUUCUAUUUUGUUGGUUUCUAGGACCGCCGUAAUGAUUAAUAGGGAUAGUCGGGGGCAUCAGUAUUCAAUUGUCAGAGGUGAAAUUCUUGGAUUUAUUGAAGACUAACUACUGCGAAAGCAUUUGCCAAGGAUGUUUUCAUUAAUCAGUGAACGAAAGUUAGGGGAUCGAAGACGAUCAGAUACCGUCGUAGUCUUAACCAUAAACUAUGCCGACUAGGGAUCGGGCGAUGUUAUUAUUUUGACUCGCUCGGCACCUUACGAGAAAUCAAAGUUUUUGGGUUCUGGGGGGAGUAUGGUCGCAAGGCUGAAACUUAAAGAAAUGACG
Molecule: ribosomal RNA, 1146 nt
Filed under: Epithamnolia xanthoriae
Lineage: Eukaryota; Fungi; Ascomycota; Leotiomycetes; Phacidiales
Description: SSU rRNA
Rfam family: Eukaryotic small subunit ribosomal RNA
Source: RNAcentral